This 105-nucleotide ribosomal RNA is filed under the name Heterocephalus glaber (naked mole-rat). Lineage: Eukaryota; Metazoa; Chordata; Mammalia; Rodentia; Bathyergidae. The record is from RNAcentral.
GUCUACCGCCAUACCACCCUGAACACGCCCAAUCUCGUCUGAUCUCGGAAGCUAAGCAGGGUCGGGCCUGGUUAGUACUUGGAUGGGAGAAAGAUGCAGUAAUUA